RNAcentral lists this ribosomal RNA (237 nucleotides) under Blastocystis sp. RNAcentral describes it as "partial 18S ribosomal RNA". It matches the Rfam family "Eukaryotic small subunit ribosomal RNA", at positions 87 to 348 of the family's 1831-position model. Lineage: Eukaryota; Bigyra; Opalinata; Blastocystidae. The record is from RNAcentral.
CUGCGAAUGGCUCAUUAUAUCAGUUAUAGUUUAUUUGAUGAGAACAAAUUGGAUAACCGUAGUAAUUCUGAGCUAAACCGAAUAAAGUCUUGUAGACUGCAUUUAUUAGAAUGAAAACCAUAGGUUUCGGCCUAUUCGUGAGUAAUAAUAACUAAUCAUAUCGUAUGCUUACGUAACGAUGUGUCUUUCAAGUUUCUGCCCUAUCAGCUUUCGAUGGUAGUGUAUUGGACUACCAUG